This 731-nucleotide ribosomal RNA is filed under the name uncultured bacterium. Its description in RNAcentral is "bacterial SSU rRNA". It matches the Rfam family "Bacterial small subunit ribosomal RNA", at positions 134 to 851 of the family's 1533-position model. The record is from RNAcentral.
CAGAAGGGGAUAACACUUGGAAACAGGUGCUAAUACCGUAUAACACUAUUUUCCGCAUGGAAGAAAGUUGAAAGGCGCUUUUGCGUCACUGAUGGAUGGACCCGCGGUGCAUUAGCUAGUUGGUGAGGUAACGGCUCACCAAGGCCACGAUGCAUAGCCGACCUGAGAGGGUGAUCGGCCACACUGGGACUGAGACACGGCCCAGACUCCUACGGGAGGCAGCAGUAGGGAAUCUUCGGCAAUGGACGAAAGUCUGACCGAGCAACGCCGCGUGAGUGAGGAAGGUUUUCGGAUCGUAAAACUCUGUUGUUAGAGAAGAACAAGGAUGAGAGUAAAAUGUUCAUCCCUUGACGGUAUCUAACCAGAAAGCCACGGCUAACUACGUGCCAGCAGCCGCGGUAAUACGUAGGUGGCAAGCGUUGUCCGGAUUUAUUGGGCGUAAAGCGAGCGCAGGCGGUUUCUUAAGUCUGAUGUGAAAGCCCCCGGCUCAACCGGGGAGGGUCAUUGGAAACUGGGAGACUUGAGUGCAGAAGAGGAGAGUGGAAUUCCAUGUGUAGCGGUGAAAUGCGUAGAUAUAUGGAGGAACACCAGUGGCGAAGGCGGCUCUCUGGUCUGUAACUGACGCUGAGGCUCGAAAGCGUGGGGAGCGAACAGGAUUAGAUACCCUGGUAGUCCACGCCGUAAACGAUGAGUGCUAAGUGUUGGAGGGUUUCCGCCCUUCAGUGCUGCAG